UCUUCCGCAAUGGACGAAAGUCCGACGGAGCAACGCCGCGUGAGUGAUGAAGGUUUUCGGAUCGUAAAGCUCUGUUGCUAGGGAAGAACGCUUGGGAGAGUAACUGCUCUCCCGGUGACGGUAUCUGAGAAGAAAGCCACGGCUAACUACGUGCCAACAGCCGCGGUAAGACGUAGGGGGCAAGCGUUGGCCGGAAUUAUUGGGCGUAAAGCGCGCGCAAGCGGGUCAUUAAGUCUGGUGUUUAAGGCUAGGGCUCAACCCUGGUUCGCACUGGAAACUGUUGAACUUGAGUGCAGAAGAGGAAAGUGGAAUUCCACGUGUAGCGGUGAAAUGCGUAGAGAUGUGGAGGAACACCAGUGGCGAAGGCGACUUUCUGGGCUGUAACUGACGCUGAGGCGCGAAAGCGUGGGGAGCAGACA
This 419-nucleotide ribosomal RNA is filed under the name uncultured bacterium. RNAcentral's name for it is "partial 16S ribosomal RNA". It matches the Rfam family "Bacterial small subunit ribosomal RNA", at positions 362 to 774 of the family's 1533-position model. The record is from RNAcentral.